This 69-nucleotide transfer RNA is filed under the name Camelus bactrianus (Bactrian camel). It matches the Rfam family "tRNA". From Rfam's summary of the family: Transfer RNA (tRNA) molecules are approximately 80 nucleotides in length. Their secondary structure includes four short double-helical elements and three loops (D, anti-codon, and T loops). RNAcentral also lists the same sequence under 2 other names. Lineage: Eukaryota; Metazoa; Chordata; Mammalia; Artiodactyla; Camelidae. The record is from Rfam by way of RNAcentral.
GGGUGUAGCUCAGUGGUAGAGCACAUGCUUAGCAUGCAUGAGUCCUGGGUUCAAUCCCCAAUACUUCCA